UACAGGCAAGUGAACUUUUCACUGUCUUAGUUCUAACUGGUUGUACUUGAUACCAUAUCCUGUCUGUCAUCCAUGGGUUUGCAGGUGAAAAAUGCAGCUCUUACUCCAAGUCUCUGUGUGAACCCAAUCCAGAGGGAAUAUUUUGGGACCAUUUCCUGUGUUUUGGACAGAAUAGAAGCCCUGGUUAAAUGAAGAGAGAAAUGUAGCCACCCCUUCUGACCCAAGAGGAGGGAAAAAAAUUUUCUUCAGUUUUACAGCCUAGGAUAUUCGUAUGCCAAGUUUGCAGUCCUGAUCAAUGGGAGAGUCUUGCUCAUCUAUCAAGCUCCAGCUCUUUCCCUGACAAUGCCUCAGGCCCUGUUAUCUGCUGCUGCCUUUCUGCAGACUCACACCAUCACCUGGAACCUGCUGAGUGCCAUCAAGUGAAAGAACAGUGAGAACUCACUGGUGGAAGAGCUGAGGUCUAAGCUUGCUGUUUGAGAGAGAGAACUUCAUCUGAGAAACAAAGACACCAAGGCUGCACUUCAGAACAAGAUAGUCUGCUCUGUUCCUUCAUGACUGAUAGAAGAGGUCACAAAGGCAAGUCUACCUCUGUAUCAGAGACAUGAGGUCAGGGACAGGGCCUCAACUUUGUACCCCAAAUAAAGCUAAAGCUUUAAGGUAAACCUGGUGGAUUUGGGAACUUUCCUGAACCUACUCAAGCUAUAACCAGUAAGAUGCAGCACUGUGGAGCCUUGGGUCUAUCUCCGUGGGGGAAAGUCCAGAGGACUGAGGCUGGGAAAUCUCAAAUAUAUAUGGGGAGAAGGAGCAGCGUAACUGCAGAAGCCCUACCCAUGGGUUUGGCUGAGAACAAGGCAGGAUGACGCACUGGAUGCCUUCAGGUAGAUGGAUUUCUGUAAAACUAUAUUAAUUUUGAUAAGGAAUACAUUUCUGCAGUUAUUGUUAAAACUGUAAAAGAAGAUUGUCUCCAUGACCCAGAGUUCAACUCAAAAUUUUUGCAAGAAAAUUUCAGUGGCUGCUGCACACAGUGCUUGAGUUAACAUCAUUAGAGUCCUGGAGCAGAGCCUCAUCAUUCUGUGAAAAGCACCAGUCCUCCUGCCUGCCUCGGUGUUUUUUUUCACUGUAUCUUCAGAUGUCAUUUUGAGCUGAGAGUUGAUGCUUGCACUUACAGAUCUUCCUUCCCUUGGUUAUCUUGUCUAUGAUAAAAAAAAUACUUUGGGCUAGGCAUUACUCUCACUGUAUUUUCUUAAUCUCUGGGACCAAAUGAGAAGGAGACAUUACUGUACUUUGCAAAGUAAACACAGAGUAGUAGAAAGCUAAAAAACUCAAAGAGACUGAUUAUUUUCUUAACUCUCUUAACCUCAAGAGGUUUCUUGUGCCCCAUGUCUCCUACAGGAAUGCUACUCCAGUACCUCACUGAUCAGAUGGAUAGAAACCUCAAUAGUGACUUUAACUACACCACCAACAUAUUAUUCAGAUUUGUUCUUGUGACAAGCUUGUCUUUUACCUCAAAAGUUCUUUUCCUUCUUCAGUAUUUCCUCACUAAUGUAACUAUGAUACAUCUUUUUGUUUCAUUAAUUGUGAGCAAGGUGCAGGAGAGGUGUGCAAGAAACAGGAUGACUACAUGUUUUGUACAGUGCCUUGCACAAUUGUCCAGUCAUGGUUCAGGGCUCCAUAGGCUGACUUUGUUUCAGCAGUGAAUAACGAUGACCCUCCAGAACACACUGCAUACUUUAUUCCAGAUGGACACCAUUAAUUCCUUCAAUUUUCAUUGAGAUGCAGAGCUUUACAAAAAGAAUACUAGCAAUUGGUUAUUUUUAUCACUGGUAUUUUCAAAGAAAUGAAGAAAUGAAAUGUACAGUAUAUUUCAGUUUGCAAUGAUCAUUCUGUUGUUCCAUUUGCAAUGGAAAUGAGCAUAUAACAUAUUCAUGUGUACAGAUAAGGAAAAUGACAAACAUUAACAUCCCUGGCUCUAUUCAUUUAUAAUAUUCAGUUUAAAAAAAAAAUCCUUCCAUUCGAUAGUUUUUAGUUUUGUUUCUGUAGCACAAUGCAAAACAACAAAGAGAGAAUUAAUGGAUAAAAUACAUUUAAUUACUUUCUAAGCAAGUUUC
Molecule: non-coding RNA, 2108 nt
Organism: Cyanistes caeruleus (blue tit)
Lineage: Eukaryota; Metazoa; Chordata; Aves; Passeriformes; Paridae
Source: RefSeq, a predicted model, not a curated record